AACGUACGAUGAACCGGCUUCGGCCGGGGAUUAGUGGCGAACGGGUGAGUAACACGUGGGCAAUCUGCCCUGCACUCUGGGACAAGCCCUGGAAACGGGGUCUAAUACCGGAUACUGAUUACCUUGGGCAUCCUUGGUGAUCGAAAGCUCCGGCGGUGCAGGAUGAGCCCGCGGCCUAUCAGCUUGUUGGUGAGGUAACGGCUCACCAAGGCGACGACGGGUAGCCGGCCUGAGAGGGCGACCGGCCACACUGGGACUGAGACACGGCCCAAACUCCUACGGGAGGCAGCAGUGGGGAAUAUUGCACAAUGGGCGAAAGCCUGAUGCAGCGACCCCGCGUGAGGGAUGACGGCCUUCGGGUUGUAAACCUCUUUCAGCAGGGAAGAAGCGAAAGUGACGGUACCUGCAGAAAAAGCGCCGGCUAACUACGUGCCAGCAGCCGCGGUAAUACGUAGGGCGCAAGCGUUGUCCGGAAUUAUUGGGCGUAAAGAGCUCGUAGGCGGCUUGUCGCGUCGGUUGUGAAAGCCCGGGGCUUAACCCCGGGUCUGCAGUCGAUACGGGCAGGCUAGAGUUCGGUAGGGGAGAUCGGAAUUCCUGGUGUAGCGGUGAAAUGCGCAGAUAUCAGGAGGAACACCGGUGGCGAAGGCGGAUCUCUGGGCCGAUACUGACGCUGAGGAGCGAAAGCGUGGGGAGCGAACAGGAUUAGAUACCCUGGUAGUCCACGCCGUAAACGGUGGGCACUAGGUGUGGGCAACAUUCCACGUUGUCCGUGCCGCAGCUAACGCAUUAAGUGCCCCGCCUGGGGAGUACGGCCGCAAGGCUAAAACUCAAAGGAAUUGACGGGGGCCCGCACAAGCGGCGGAGCAUGUGGCUUAAUUUGACGCAACGCGAAGAACCUUACCAAGGCUUGACAUACACCGGAAACAUCCAGAGAUGGGUGCCCCCUUGUGGUCGGUGUACAGGUGGUGCAUGGCUGUCGUCAGCUCGUGUCGUGAGAUGUUGGGUUAAGUCCCGCAACGAGCGCAACCCUUGUCCCGUGUUGCCAGCAGGCCCUUGUGGUGCUGGGGACUCACGGGAGACCGCCGGGGUCAACUCGGAGGAAGGUGGGGACGACGUCAAGUCAUCAUGCCCCUUAUGUCUUGGGCUGCACACGUGCUACAAUGGCCGGUACAAUGAGCUGCGAUACCGCGAGGUGGAGCGAAUCUCAAAAAGCCGGUCUCAGUUCGGAUUGGGGUCUGCAACUCGACCCCAUGAAGUCGGAGUCGCUAGUAAUCGCAGAUCAGCAUUGCUGCGGUGAAUACGUUCCCGGGCCUUGUACACACCGCCCGUCACGUCACGAAAGUCGGUAACACCCGAAGCCGGUGGCCCAACCCCUUGUGGGAGGGAGCUGUCGAUAUGU
Molecule: ribosomal RNA, 1399 nt
Filed under: actinomycete LQ123
Lineage: Bacteria; Bacillati; Actinomycetota; Actinomycetes; Actinomycetales
Description: bacterial SSU rRNA
Rfam family: Bacterial small subunit ribosomal RNA
Source: RNAcentral